RNAcentral lists this ribosomal RNA (251 nucleotides) under uncultured bacterium. RNAcentral's name for it is "partial 16S ribosomal RNA". It matches the Rfam family "Bacterial small subunit ribosomal RNA", at positions 524 to 775 of the family's 1533-position model. The record is from RNAcentral.
UACGAAGGGUGCUAGCGUUGUUCGGAAUGACUGGGCGUAAAGGGAGCGUAGGCGGUUGAGUACGUUUGGCGUGAAAGUCCUGGGCUUAACCUGGGGACUGCAUUGAAUACGGCUUGACUUGAGGUAUAGAGGGAAGAUGGAAUUGUGUGUGUAGAGGUGAAAUUCGUAGAUAUACACAAGAACACCAGUGGCGAAGGCGAUCUUCUGGCUAUUACCUGACGCUAAGGCUCGAAAGCGUGGGGAGCAACAGG